This 29-nucleotide non-coding RNA is filed under the name Rattus norvegicus (Norway rat). The record is from RNAcentral. Lineage: Eukaryota; Metazoa; Chordata; Mammalia; Rodentia; Muridae.
UGAGUGAACCGGAACCCAGUGACUCUUGC